AUUCUUGGUCAUUUUAGAGGAAGUAAAAGUCGUAACAAGGUUUCCGUAGGUGAACCUGCGGAAGGAUCAUUAACGAGUUAGGGUCUCCCAGGCCCGACCUCCCCACCCUGUGUUUACUGGACCGUGUACAAGUCUCCUGGCCCGUCUUUGGACCGCCGGAGGACCGUCGUAGGUCCUCUGGCCCGUGCCCGCCGGUGGCCAACCUUAACAAAUUCUUAAUUAUACGUGUCCUUGUCUGAGUAAAUGAAAUAAAUAAAGCAAAAAACUUUCAACAACGGAUCUCUUGGUUCUGGCAUCGAUGAAGAACGCAGCGAAAUGCGAUAAGUAAUGCGAAUUGCAGAAUUCCAGUGAGUCAUCGAAUCUUUGAACGCACAUUGCGCCCUUUGGCAUUCCGAAGGGCAUGCCUGUUCGAGCGUCAUUAUCACCCCUCAAGCCCCUGGGCUUGGUGUUGGACGGUCUCGGUGAGACCUGCAGUGUCUCACCCCUCCUAAAGACAAUGACGGCGGCUUCGUUGGACCCCCGGUACACUGAGCUUCUUUACUGAGCACGUACUGGAUGCGGGUGCGCGGGGCACGGUCUGCCUCCCCUUAGGGAGAACUUUUUCAUAACAAGGUUGACCUCGGAUCAGGUAGGAAUACCCGCUGAACUUAAGCAUAUCAAUAAGCGGAGG
This 670-nucleotide small RNA is filed under the name uncultured fungus. Its description in RNAcentral is "eukaryotic LSU rRNA". The stretch from base 264 to 418 matches the Rfam family "5.8S ribosomal RNA". The record is from RNAcentral. Lineage: Eukaryota; Fungi.